CGCACCUUGCACUUUCUGGUAUUCCGGGAAGUAUGCCUGUUUGAGAAUCGAUGAAUUCUCUCACGUUAAAUUUCGUUUGUUUUGUUUAUUCAAAAUAUUGAAAUUUCAAUGUGGAUAUGGAUCAUCUUUGUGGUAAUUUUUAUUGCAAAGUGAUCUAAAAUGUAUUGUAUUGGCCAAAGGCUCUUGGGGUCUUGAUGUAUGGCUGAAAAGCGGGACCAAUAAGAAUGAGAAUUUUAUUCUCAACUCUUUUUACCCUUCGCUCAUGACUGCCUUCAAGAUAUUUUAAACUCGAGACUUUAAAUGGUUUUCAAUCUCACGAUUCCAACUUCAGACUCAUCACAAUUAGUUAAAAUUUUUAGCUUCUUUUGUUAAUCUGAACACUUGGUCUCAAAUCAGGCAAGAAGACCCGCUGAACUUAA
Molecule: unclassified non-coding RNA, 419 nt
Filed under: Glomeraceae sp.
Lineage: Eukaryota; Fungi; Glomeromycota; Glomeromycetes; Glomerales; Glomeraceae
Description: partial contains 5.8S ribosomal RNA, internal transcribed spacer 2, and large subunit ribosomal RNA
Source: RNAcentral